AUUAGCUAGUUGGUGAGGUAACGGCUCACCAAGGCAACGAUCAGUAGCCGACCUGAGAGGGUGAUCGGCCACACUGGAACUGAGACACGGUCCAGACUCCUACGGGAGGCAGCAGUGGGGAAUAUUGCACAAUGGGCGAAAGCCUGAUGCAGCAACGCCGCGUGAGCGAUGAAGGCCUUCGGGUCGUAAAGCUCUGUCCUAUGGGAAGAUAAUGACGGUACCAUAGGAGGAAGCCCCGGCUAACUACGUGCCAGCAGCCGCGGUAAUACGUAGGGGGCAAGCGUUAUCCGGAAUUACUGGGCGUAAAGGGUGCGUAGGCGGUUUAUCAAGUCAGGGGUGAAAGGCUACGGCUCAACCGUAGUGAGCCUCUGAAACUGGUGAACUUGAGUGUAGGAGAGGAAAGUGGAAUUCCCAGUGUAGCGGUGAAAUGCGUAGAUAUUGGGAGGAACACCAGUGGCGAAGGCGACUUUCUGGACUACAACUGACGCUGAGGCACGAAAGCGUGGGGAGCAAACAGGAUUAGAUACCCUGGUAGUCCACGCUGUAAAC
Molecule: ribosomal RNA, 549 nt
Filed under: uncultured bacterium
Lineage: Bacteria
Description: bacterial SSU rRNA
Rfam family: Bacterial small subunit ribosomal RNA
Source: RNAcentral